GUGGACUCCAAUUAAGCUGUAGAAACAUCUCAAGGAUGAUCAAUGGAUAAAGGAGGCACCUAAGCUCAGUUUUGUGCUUCAUGGCAAAGGCAGUGAAU
Long non-coding RNA from Thalassophryne amazonica, 98 nucleotides. RefSeq lists it as uncharacterized. The record is from RefSeq and is a predicted model, not a curated record. The transcript has 3 exons. Lineage: Eukaryota; Metazoa; Chordata; Actinopteri; Batrachoidiformes; Batrachoididae.